AACGAACGCUGGCGGCGCGCCUAAUACAUGCAAGUCGAGCGAGAAGACGUAGCAAUACGUUUGUAAAGCGGCGAACGGGUGAGGAAUACAUGGGUAACCUAUCCUCGAGUGGGGAAUAACUAGCCGAGAGGUUAGCUAAUACCGCGUACGCUCCUUGGACUUCGGUUCAGGGAGGAAAGCGAUACCGUGGGUAUCGCGCUCUUGGAUGGGCUCAUGUCCUAUCAGCUUGUUGGNGAGGUAC
RNAcentral lists this ribosomal RNA (241 nucleotides) under uncultured bacterium. RNAcentral's name for it is "partial 16S ribosomal RNA". It matches the Rfam family "Bacterial small subunit ribosomal RNA", at positions 29 to 260 of the family's 1533-position model. The record is from RNAcentral.